GAUCAGAAUGCCACGGUGAAUACGUUCCCGGGCCUUGUACACACCGCCCGUCACACCAUGGGAGUGGGCUGCAAAAGAAGUAGGUAGUUUAACCUUCGGGGGGACGCUUACCACUUUGUGGUUCAUGACUGGGGUGAAGUCGUAACAAGGUAGCGCUAGGGGAACCUGGCGCUGGAUCACCUCCUUAAACGAUGAU
This 196-nucleotide ribosomal RNA is filed under the name Vibrio alginolyticus. Its description in RNAcentral is "partial 16S ribosomal RNA". It matches the Rfam family "Bacterial small subunit ribosomal RNA", at positions 1347 to 1533 of the family's 1533-position model. Lineage: Bacteria; Pseudomonadati; Pseudomonadota; Gammaproteobacteria; Vibrionales; Vibrionaceae. The record is from RNAcentral. RNAcentral also lists the same sequence under 1 other name.